GUGAACAGCAACAACGCUCCAAUAUGUUAAAAUGCAUGAAAGCUCAAAUAAAAACAACAUAGAACCGCAGUGUUGCACAGAGAUCAAUAUAACCGUUGGGUGAAGCGGUCAUAGCCGUGUUUUAUCGUGAAUAAAGCACAGCUCUUGACCAAUCAGAAUCAAGGAUUCGAACUAACCGUUUUAUAAGUACUCCGUAAAACAAUGUCAUUGCAAAUAUUAUUGUUACCUGUUCAUCAUUGUGUUUUAUUCGGUUUUAAUUUUUCCUGCAUUUUCCAUCUGGAAAAAAGCCACAACGAUGUUAAUUGAUUCAGGAUUUCUGCCGUCGUCUGUCACAACUUCGUCUGGCUUCAUUAUGUUUUUUUUCUUAGCCGACGAAGAUUGACGCUCUGUCGGCUUUUGUGCAAAAUAAUACAUGUGGUCCUCAAAUUUCACUACUAACGUUACUACUUCUUCUUCUUUGUGCCUAUUCAAUGUAGUGACGGUGCAAGUUGCCUCUAAAAACCAACGAGGAAGAUGAAAAACAGAGUGACAGAAAGUUUGUGCGUUUAGGGCCACUGUAGAAACAUGGCGGCACAAAAUGGCGACUUGGCGUAUAAGGGGGCCCGCGGUGUGUGUAGAGAGAAACGGCUCAUUCUAAGAUCCUCAUCAAUUUUGCACACGCCACCUUUAAGUGUGCAUUCAAUGGACACUUUACUAUCCCAUGAGGCCACGGGAGAGGAGUUAUGAAUGGCAGGGAAGCGUUGGUCAUCAGUGACCAUGGUGGCACAUUCAUACUAUAGAAAACCUAUUUUUAAAACGGUCACAAGGUGAGUACUUGUUCAAAAUAAGUACCCUCAGUACUCAGCAAGUGUGUGAUUUCAGACGCAAGACUUCAUCUUCAUUCUCUCAUCAUCUCUGUGCACUGGAUUACCUCAAACCCAACUCGUCACAGGCCCACACACAACCUGCAGAAAGAGCGGCAGAUCUCCUACACAUCUUCCACACCCUUGCAUGUUAAGUUAUUAAAUAUUUUGUCAAAUUUUCAGCUACUAUAGAAGUGCAUAACUCUCUUCCACAUAACUUCUUUUCCCAUAAAUGUGUUGGAAAUGUGGACCUACUACUGACUUCAGACUGCUUCUGUCAGUCACUUUUUUCAUCAGUGAUCUUGUGAAAUUGUCUAAUCUGAGACAUGUAUGUGCCUUUACUAAGUAAAAAACUCUUCUUCGCACACGCAUCUGUUCUCAUCCUCUCCAGCUGGAUGAACCAAAAAGGGAAGAGAUAAGAAAGCCUAGAUUUGCAUAAAGGACAGAAAGAUUUUUUUUUUUUUUUUUUUUUUUGCAUUACAACAUUUUUCCGACAAGCACAAUGUGUCCAAAUGUUGUACUUUUGCUUUUGUUUCUAUCUAUUUAGAUUCUGAUUAUAAUACAGAUAUAAGAAUCA
This is a non-coding RNA of Pimephales promelas (fathead minnow), 1419 nucleotides long. NCBI's taxonomy places the organism in Eukaryota, Metazoa, Chordata, Actinopteri, Cypriniformes, Leuciscidae. The record is from RefSeq and is a predicted model, not a curated record.